Heterocephalus glaber (naked mole-rat) is the source of this 2665-nucleotide non-coding RNA. Lineage: Eukaryota; Metazoa; Chordata; Mammalia; Rodentia; Bathyergidae. The record is from RefSeq and is a predicted model, not a curated record.
CCGGGAGUUUGGCUUGCGUUGCUAUGGUCACCAGAUACUUUGGAGCCUUCUAGAAAGCCCUGGACUCAAAUGCGGGGGUUGGGGGAGCUGGAGAAUAUUGGCAGUUGAAAAAGGACUGGGUUCGCUUCUCUCCUUUCCUAAUGACUGCCCAUCUUGUAGAGCAGUGGAACCGCAAAUGCCUUUAGUCACCUCUAGCAACCCUACAUUAGGCAUUUGAGACUCCCGAGGCACUUCGCAUAACAGCCUGUCUCCAUGGUUAUCACCACAUAUCCGCAAAGGCCGGCUUUAUGGGGAUACAAACUUCAUUUGCACUUGUGGUGUUACGGUUUGGAUCUGAAAUGUCCUCUAAAAGCUCUUGUAUUGAAGGAUUUGCACACAUCAGUGUUCAUAGCGAUGGAAAGCUGACUAAUACAGAAGGUCUCCACGCUUGAUUUAACACUCUUCAGUUGAAGCCUUGAAAUUCUUAGUGUGGAAGAGGAACAGACAUCAGGGAUAAACACACAGGAAAGACAUGCCAAGGACACUGUGAGAAGGCAUUCGCUAUCUACAAACCAAAGAAGGAGGCUUCAGGAGAACCCAAACUACUGACACUCUACCUCAGACUUCCAGCUUCUAGAACUGUAAGAAAAUAAAUUUCUUUUGUUCUCUCUCUUUUUUUUUUUGGUACUGGGGAUCAAACUUGGGUCCUUGCGCUUGCACAGCAGGCAGCACAACCACUGAGCUAAAUCCCCAGCCCUUCUCUCUCUCUUUUUAAGAUAGUCUCACAAUGUAUUUCAGGCUCGUCUUGAACUCACUAUGUAACCCAGGCUGGCCUUGAACUUGAAGCAAUCCUCCUGCCUCAGCCUCCUAAGUGCUGGGAUUACAGGCAUGUGCCAUGAUGCCCACUGAGAAAACAAAUUUCUGUUAAAAUUUGCUUAAACCACCGAAUCUGUGGUGUUUUCUUACAGUACUCUGAGCAGACCAAUACAGUUUCUGUGUCACGCAUUCAUCUGGUUUUAUGCUAAUGUCACAAGUACUCUUUCUCCGUGUGCUGUGCUGCCCAGAAUUGUAAAUGCUGGAGGCUCUGCCUUCUGCUCUGUCCUCUUUCUUCUCUAUGAGGGGUUGGAGAUUUAGCUCAGUGGUUCUGGAGCCUGCCUCACAAGCACAAGGUCCGGAGUUCGAUCCCUGGUACCAAAAAAAACAAACAAACCAAAAAAAACAAAACAAAAUAAACUUCUCUUUCUUCUCUAUGUAUCCCUUCUCCUCAGAUAAUGUCAAUGUUGUGGCUUGUGUCUAGAUGUUCCCUCAAAGCCUCAUGCAGUCUUUUUCAGAGGUUGCUGAAUCUGGAAUGUGUGAUGCUGGGAUUGAGGGUGUGCGGUUACUAAACCACUACACGAGUGACUGGUUGGGCACCGCCCUAAUCCCAGUGGUCUGGGUAAGAUAAAAAGGGCAGGAAGAUGCUGUUAAGGUUCCCUUGUUGCCUUUGCAACCAUGUGGACACCAUGAACUAUUCCUUCUCUGUGAUGCCCCUCUGGCAUGUGCCACCCUGCCUUGGAGCCAGCUGAUUAUGGACUGAAACCUCUACCAACUGUGAGCUAAAUAAACUCUUUCCCUUUAACUUUGGGUGUCAGGUAUUUUAUCUCAGCAAUGAGAGAAAAGUAACUGACACAGUCAUGCUAUUUCCCAUCCAGACCUCCCAUAAGCUCCACCCUCAUCUAUCUGCCUACCUCCUGGACAAUGCCACUUGGAUGCCUAACAGGUAUCUUAAAACCCACAUGGGGCCAGGGAUUUAGCUCAGUGGUUUCACUGCCUGCUGCGCAAGCACAAGGACCCGAGCUCGAUCCCUGGUACCAAAAAAAGAAAAACCCAGAAAAACCCCACAUGGCUAGAAGAAAAAACCCCCCACAUUGGGAAGAUUAAAAGAUCUGGAGAUGGGUGGUGGUGAUGGCUGUAUAACACAUGAAUGUACCUAAUGCCACUGAACUAUACAUUCAAAAUGACUAAAAAGAGCCAGACAUGGUAGUAUACACCUGGAAUCCCAGCAUCCUGGGAGGCUGGGCAGGAGAAUGCAAGACAUGGACCACCAUGCCUGGCUAAGUCAGUAUCAUCUCUUGCUUGGAGAACUACUUUUAUAGUUUCCUAACUGGUCUCCCUACCUCCUUUCUUUUACCCUCCACCAAGCAGCCGGCCUUCUAAAGCAGUGAUGGAAACCUUUUAGAGCUUUCAAUGAUUACAAACAGCUGGCUGUGGCACGUGUGCCAUAGGUUCACCACUACUGUUCCAAAGUAUAACCUGGAUCUCAUUACUCCCUUGCUUAAAAUCAGCCUUCAGUGGAUUGCCACUGCAUUCAGGAUAAAUCCCAACCCAGCUGUGGCUCCCAAGGAGCAAGGCCAUCAAGGUCCUGCCUGCCUCUCCAGCCUUGUCUCGUCCCCCUCUCCCCUUUACUCUUUGCUGCCUUCCUUCACUUCCUCAAAUCCCUGUUCUUAUCCCUAGGCCUUUAUCAGCUAACUCCUUCCCAUCCAUCAGGUCCCAACCCAAAUGCCUCUUCCUCUUUGAGGCUGCUACUGAAAUUGAUACACAGAUUAAGCCUCCAUCUCCAUGAUUUUUGCUAAGUGCCCUCUGCCUGUGUGUGUGUGUGUGUGUGUGUGUGUGUGUGUGUGUGUGUGUAUGCACGCUACAGGGGAUU